CCAAUAGCGUAUAUUAAAGUUGUUGCAGUUAAAAAGCUCGUAGUUGAAUUUCGGGAUCAAUAUGCCGGUCAUGCCUUGGUAUGUACUGGUAUCUUUGAUUUCUCCCUUCUGACGAACUUUGAUGUCAUUAAUUUGGUGUCAUAGGGAAUCAGGACUGUUACUUUGAAAAAAUUAGAGUGUUUAAAGCAAGCUCACGCUUGAAUACAUUAGCAUGGAAUAA
RNAcentral lists this ribosomal RNA (220 nucleotides) under uncultured Glomus. RNAcentral's name for it is "partial small subunit ribosomal RNA". It matches the Rfam family "Eukaryotic small subunit ribosomal RNA", at positions 591 to 817 of the family's 1831-position model. The record is from RNAcentral. Lineage: Eukaryota; Fungi; Glomeromycota; Glomeromycetes; Glomerales; Glomeraceae.